AAUGGGAUUAGCUAGUAGGCGGGGUUAUUGCCCACCUAGGCGACGAUCCCUAGCUGUCUGAGAGGAUGCCCAGCCACACUGGAACUGAGACACGGUCCAGACUCCUACGGGAGGCAGCAGUGGGGAAUAUUGCACAAUGGGCGCAAGCCUGAUGCAGCCAUGCCGCGUGUAUGAAGAAGGUCUUCGGAUUGUAAAGCACUUUAAGUUGGGAGGAAGGGCUGUUUCCUAAUACGAAGCAGUUUUGACGUUACCGACAGAAUAAGCACCGGCUAACUCUGUGCCAGCAGCCGCGGUAAUACAGAGGGUGCAAGCGUUAAUCGGAAUUACUGGGCGUAAAGCGCACGCAGGCGGUCUGUCAAGUCGGAUGUGAAAUCCCCGGGCUCAACCUGGGAACUGCAUUCGAAACUGGCAGGCUUGAGUCUCGUAGAGGGGGGUAGAAUUCCAGGUGUAGCGGUGAAAUGCGUAGAGAUCUGGAGGAAUACCGGUGGCGAAGGCGGCCCCCUGGACAAAGACUGACGCUCAGGUGCGAAAGCGUGGGGAGCAAACAGGAUUAGAUACCCUGGUAGUCCACGCCGUAAACGAUGUCGACUUGGAGGUUGUUCCCUUGAGGAGUGGCUUCCGGAGCUAACGCGUUAAGUCGACCGCCUGGGGAGACGCCGCAG
Molecule: ribosomal RNA, 662 nt
Filed under: uncultured bacterium
Lineage: Bacteria
Description: bacterial SSU rRNA
Rfam family: Bacterial small subunit ribosomal RNA
Source: RNAcentral